GGACACCCUGAUACUGAGGGAGGACCCCAAUAAAGUCUGGCGCACGUUUCUUUUCUCGUUCUUUUCGUCUCUGGUGCAUAGUGUACUGAAGGAGAUCAGUAGAGUAAACUUGUUUGUUUCGGUUUGCUGAUAUGGGCCUCGGAUGCACACGUGUUGAAAAUGGCUUUACUGAUUGGUCUGAAGAUGGCACCUAGAUAUUUUUCUUAUCUGUGGUUUGAAAUCUACUACAUGAAUCACAUCCACUAAUCUAUUCGGUUCCUCGUUGUUGCCACGUGAAGUGAGCUGUGAAUCCUGAUGGAGCAGGUUGGUGUCUAAGACCUCCUGAGCUUUCACCAGGAUGGACCCUUUUGUACCCGGAGUGCAAAAGCUUUUCAUUCAGACUUCAUCAGUUGGAGAGGAAGAGAGAUGUGCUGUUUGUUUUUAUGAUGCUUUUUUUAAAUAAUGCUGUGUUGGUGCAAAUAAAGCUUUAAAAUGUUC
Tachysurus fulvidraco (yellow catfish) is the source of this 477-nucleotide long non-coding RNA. RefSeq lists it as uncharacterized. The transcript is spliced from 6 exons. The record is from RefSeq and is a predicted model, not a curated record. Lineage: Eukaryota; Metazoa; Chordata; Actinopteri; Siluriformes; Bagridae.